Molecule: ribosomal RNA, 468 nt
Filed under: uncultured bacterium
Lineage: Bacteria
Description: bacterial SSU rRNA
Rfam family: Bacterial small subunit ribosomal RNA
Source: RNAcentral
AGAGUUUGAUCCUGGCUCAGAACGAACGCUGGCGGCAGGCUUAACACAUGCAAGUCGAGCGCCCCGCAAGGGGAGCGGCAGACGGGUGAGUAACGCGUGGGAAUCUACCCUGAUCUGCGGGAUAGCUCCGGGAAACUGGAAUUAAUACCGCAUGUGCCCUGAGGGGCAAAGAUUUAUCGGUUCAGGAUGAGCCCGCGUCCGAUUAGCUAGUUGGUGGGGUAAUGGCCUACCAAGGCGACGAUCGGUAGCUGGUCUAAGAGGAUGAUCAGCCACAUUGGGACUGAGACACGGCCCAAACUCCUACGGGAGGCAGCAGUGGGGAAUAUUGGACAAUGGGCGCAAGCCUGAUCCAGCCAUGCCGCGUGAGUGAUGAAGGCCCUAGGGUUGUAAGGCUCUUUCAGUGGGGACGAUAAUGACGGUACCCACAGAAGAAGCCCCGGCUAACUUCGUGCCAGCAGCCGCGGUAAU